AAAAAGAUAAACCAUGAGUUUCUGUGUCCAACUUUAAAUGUCUGUCUUAUAUAAAUUUUUUUAUAAUUCGUAUUUUCAUUGUUGCUAGAUGAUAAAACAUGAUUAAUAUUUUAUACGUGACUUGUCUUUUUAAUUUUUUUCAUAAUUUUUUUAAAUAAGACGGACGGUCAAACGUUGGGCACGGAAAUUAGAGUUUGUCUUUUUU
Oryza sativa Japonica Group (Japanese rice) is the source of this 205-nucleotide microRNA precursor. It matches the Rfam family "MIR812 microRNA precursor family". NCBI's taxonomy places the organism in Eukaryota, Viridiplantae, Streptophyta, Magnoliopsida, Poales, Poaceae. The record is from Rfam.